Molecule: long non-coding RNA, 1205 nt
Organism: Gossypium raimondii (Peruvian cotton)
Lineage: Eukaryota; Viridiplantae; Streptophyta; Magnoliopsida; Malvales; Malvaceae
Exons: 3
Source: RefSeq, a predicted model, not a curated record
CCACUUUUGUGGAAACGAAGUAAUUGGAACACAAAGAUAUAGGUUUAAUACUUCCAAAAUCAGAACAAUAAUACCCUCUUCAUUCUAAGCCCCAUCACCCAAAAAAACAAAAAACCCUUCAACCUCAGCCAAAUUACCUUCCUUCUCUUUCCUACUAUAUUUUUAUUCUUCCGUGUUUCGUUCUCUCUCUCAGAACCUUUUCUUUCGAUUCACGUUCUAAAAUGGUUGCUUCAAACGUAGUUGUGGUUAUGGAUUUCGAUAAGACGAUUCUCGAUUGCGAUAGUGAUAAUUGGGUGGUGGACAAGUUGGGUGCUACUGAGUUGUUCAACGACCUCUUACCUACUAUGCCUUUGAACUCUCUCAUGGCAAUUUCUCUUUAUUCUUUUUUUUAGUUUUUUCUUUUAAUUUUUCCAAAUCUAAGAACUAGGGUUUAAUCAGUGUUGUUGUUGUUGUUGUUUUUACAAAAUAUAUAUUUCACGACCGAAUGAUGAAAGAACUUCAUAUACAAGGAACCAAAAUUGAAGACAUUGUAGCUGUUUCAAAAAGAACUCCUAUUCAUCCCCGAAUCAUCCAAGCCAUUAAAUCUGCACAUGCUUUAGGAUGUGAUUUGAAAAUCGUUAGUGAUGCGAACGUGUUCUUCAUCGACACAAUUUUAAAACAUCAUGGUUUGAAGGAAUGCUUUUCAGAAAUCAAUACGAACCCAAGCUUCGUGGAUGAAGAAGGCAGGGUAUUGUGAUCGAAAAGAUCCAAAUAUCUUUAUUCGCGGUGGAGGAGAAGAAAACAAUCAUCUACAUGGGGGAUGGAUUGGGUGAUUUCUGCCCCAGUUUGAAGCUUGGAGAUGGAGACUAUAUGUUGCCAAGGAAAGAUUUCCCAAUUUGGGACUUGGUUUGAAAAAACAGGAGCCUAAUAAAGGCUGAAGUUUGCAAAUGGAGCAAUGGGGAGGAAUUUGACCAUGUUUUACACCACUUCAUCACCAAGAUUACCAUUGACAAAAGUGAUGAAGCUAGCCUGCAUGCAGACAAAAAGCAGAGAAGCUGCCCGAGCCAUGCAGUUGCAGCUGAAGUUCAUGUUGCUGAUCUAUUUUGUUACUUCAAGUGUCUGUUUUGCUAAUUAGUUGAAAAUGAACUAAGUUGGUAUUGUUUUGAUGUAAUUAGGUGCUGAUAGAUUGAUAAAUCAACAUAGCUAUGUGUGCAAGUUAUGUUUAA